RNAcentral lists this ribosomal RNA (132 nucleotides) under uncultured Sinorhizobium sp. RNAcentral describes it as "partial 16S ribosomal RNA". It matches the Rfam family "Bacterial small subunit ribosomal RNA", at positions 321 to 456 of the family's 1533-position model. The record is from RNAcentral. Lineage: Bacteria; Pseudomonadati; Pseudomonadota; Alphaproteobacteria; Hyphomicrobiales; Rhizobiaceae.
GGGGCACGGGGGGCCUACGGGAGGCAGCAGUGGGGAAUAUUGGACAAUGGGCGCAAGCCUGAUCCAGCCAUGCCGCGUGAGUGAUGAAGGCCCUAGGGUUGUAAAGCUCUUUCACCGGUGAAGAUAAUGACG